Non-coding RNA from Caenorhabditis elegans, 205 nucleotides. The record is from Ensembl. Lineage: Eukaryota; Metazoa; Nematoda; Chromadorea; Rhabditida; Rhabditidae.
GAAGCAAUCGGUUCCGCAAUCAGAUUCAUCAUAUUUCACUUUGUGUGAGUUGGUCGCGCACAAUUAUACGUCAGCCGGCGUCGUGCCGAUUUGCGCAACUGUCGUUGUGAGGGGAUCCAUCGGAAUGUUGUGUAACGAACACCGGUAACUAUUAAAUCAUUGGCAUCCCUUUCAACUUUUGCGCACUCCUUAGCUUCCGGACAGA